CUAAAUUGAUCAAUUGAAGGUCGAAUUGAGGUGUUUAUUGGUGCAUGUAUCAAGAAUCUUGAUCACCCACACUUGUCUAACAUUAGGCAACGCGAUUGAGGCAUCGGGAAGUCAAGCCGGUGCGGACACUCGUUUGAAGGGAAAGCUUUAAGUUUUUAGGUAAUGCAAGCACAUGGAUGAUGGUCAAGUCAAUGCUUCCGAACCGAACACAUUCAAGAUCUCAUUCCGCAACUUU
Long non-coding RNA from Helianthus annuus (common sunflower), 235 nucleotides. RefSeq lists it as uncharacterized. NCBI's taxonomy places the organism in Eukaryota, Viridiplantae, Streptophyta, Magnoliopsida, Asterales, Asteraceae. The record is from RefSeq and is a predicted model, not a curated record. The transcript has 3 exons.